RNAcentral lists this ribosomal RNA (253 nucleotides) under uncultured bacterium. RNAcentral's name for it is "partial 16S ribosomal RNA". It matches the Rfam family "Bacterial small subunit ribosomal RNA", at positions 524 to 776 of the family's 1533-position model. The record is from RNAcentral.
GACGAACCGUGCGAACGUUGUUCGGAAUCACUGGGCUUAAAGGGCGCGUAGGCGGCAUAUCAAGUCCGGGGUGAAAGCCCCCAGCUUAACUGGGGAAGUGCCUUGGAUACUGGUGUGCUCGAGGGAGGUAGGGGUCGAGGGAACUUCUGGUGGAGCGGUGAAAUGCGUUGAUAUCAGAAGGAACGCCGGUGGCGAAAGCGCUCGACUGGACCUUUUCUGACGCUGAGGCGCGAAAGCUAGGGGAGCAAACGGG